Molecule: ribosomal RNA, 253 nt
Filed under: uncultured bacterium
Lineage: Bacteria
Description: partial 16S ribosomal RNA
Rfam family: Bacterial small subunit ribosomal RNA
Source: RNAcentral
UACAGAGGGGGCAAGCGUUGUUCGGAAUUACUGGGCGUAAAGGGCGCGUAGGCGGCCUUCUAAGUCGAACGUGAAAUCCCCGGGCUCAACCCGGGAACUGCGUCCGAUACUGGAAGGCUUGAAUCCGGGAGAGGGAUGCGGAAUUCCAGGUGUAGCGGUGAAAUGCGUAGAUAUCUGGAGGAACACCGGUGGCGAAGGCGGCAUCCUGGACCGGCAUUGACGCUGAGGCGCGACAGCGUGGGGAGCAAACAGG